Molecule: non-coding RNA, 2871 nt
Organism: Microcebus murinus (gray mouse lemur)
Lineage: Eukaryota; Metazoa; Chordata; Mammalia; Primates; Cheirogaleidae
Source: RefSeq, a predicted model, not a curated record
GGAGACCAUAGGUUCGAAUCCCGUUUAGGAACUUCAACUUGCGCAUCUCUAAAAGAAGCUGGAAUUAUUGGCUUGUACUCAAGAGUAUACAGAGACUCACCGUUCACAACAGCACUGAGAAAAACUUUCUCCAGGAUCCCUGGCAACUGUCUUUAAGUCCCUUACUGAGAUGUCCCAUGGUUCCCUGUGGAGUGCCUUCUUCACUGCAAUGAGUAAUAAUCCCAACUUGUUCAACUACAGAUUGUGUCAUAGGGAGAUGUUUGUUCUGUGUCUCCCAAUACCAGCCAUGGAGUGGGGACUCCUGUUUCUCAGGAUGGACGUUGCUCAGAUGGUUGUUGGAGUCCAUCUCUCCUCAGGCCUACGAUAACCCAGCACAAUGGAAGCCAGCCACCAUGUCAUGGAGACACUCAAGGAGUCUCUCGAAGAGAUACACACACUGCAGAAUCGAGGCACCCCAGCUAAAGCCAGUACUACCGUGCCAGUCAUGGGAGUAAUCCAGCUUGGAAGUGGAGCAUCUGGCCCCAGUCAAACCUUCAGAUGAUGGCAGCCUGAGAAACCCAAAGCCAGAGCCACCCAGCUAAGUUGCUCCUGAAUUCCUGACUUGCAGAAACUGUGUGAGAUAAUUAAUGUUUACUAUUGUGUUAAGCCAGUAAAUUUGGAGGUAAUUUGUUACACAGCAAUAAAUAACUCAUAAAUGUUGUUUCUGAGCAAUUUGAGGAUCUGUCCAGGGUUCAAGACUUCUGAGACUUUUCAUGGCCUAUAUCCAUGCUAUGAUGUCUGGAUUUUGGGGGCAUUCUGUAUUUCACAUUUUUAGGUCUCUGUUUUUUUUUGGUUUCCCUCUCUCUAGGAUUUUAGAUCUCUGAACUAUUUGGAGACCUAUGUCCCACAGUGUAGGGAUUCUGGGUUGUUUUUCUGUGCAUGUUCAGAAUGUGAUCGUAACUGUUUGGGAUCCUUUUUUUUUUUUUUUUUUUUUUUGCUCAAGAAACUGAAAUCUAUGUUUGGGAUCCUUAAUGCUAGGGUAUGAUGUCUCUAAGAUACUUUCUACUUGGCUCCAGAAUUUGAAUUCUCUGAGCUUUCUGGCAGACUGUAUUCUGAGUGUGAGGUCACUGGGGUGUUUGGGAGUCUGUGUCUUAGGUUUCACAUCCAUGAACUCUUUGGAGGACUGUAUACUGGUGUUGUUUACUCUUUGAGGUGUAUAGAUUUUUAAAUCCCAGGAGGAGACAUCACCAAGGUGACUGGAGCCUGCAUCCAAGACACUAGGUGUUAGAGUUGUUUGGGCCACUUAGUCCUUGGAUAUGAAAUUUCUAAUGUGUUUGAGAGUCUAUGUCCAGAUAUUGAUAUUUCUCAGUUUGAAGGGAGAGGGAAUCAGUUCUCUGAACUGUUUACCAAUAUAUGUCCCAGGAUGUAAGGUUCCUGAGCUGUUUGUGGUUGUGCCUGACAUGUUUAUAGCUGUAUAUCACAGUGUAUGAGGUAUCUGUUCAUGGGUAUAUGUACCAGGGUGUGAGGUAUCUGAAUUCUUUGAGUGUGUGUGUCCAAGGUUGUGAGAUCUCUGAUCUAUUUGAGUCUAUAGUUCCUAGAAUGAGAGCUUUCUUAUUUCUUUGUGGGUAUAUAUUCCAAGGUGUGAGUUCUAUGAUCUGUUUGGGUAUGUAUGUGAGGUUUCUGCUCUGUUCGUGGGCAUAUGUCCAAUGUUGUAAGGUUUCUGAUCUGCUUGUGAGAAUAUGUCCCAGGGUAUGAGGUCUCUGAUCUGUUUUUAGUUUUAUGUCCCUGGAUAUUAGAUCUCUGAUCUCUUUGUGGGUAUAGUGCCAAUGGUGGGAGGUCUCUGAAUUCUUUCAGGUUAUAUUUCCCUGAAUGUUAUAUUUCUGAGUUUUUUAAAUUGUAUUUUCUAGGGAUAUGAGUACUCUUAUCUGUAGGUUAUAUGGGUAUUGCAGAAUACAAGGACUAUUGUUUCCAAGGGUAUAUGUCCCAAGGUGUGAGAUCUCUGUCAUGGCUGUGGGUAUAUGUCUCUAGGUGUGAGGUCCCUAAAAUGUUUGUGGGUAUAUUUCCCAGGAUGUGAGUUCCCUGAGCUCUUUCUUAGUGGGUGUAUAUCCCAGAAUAUGCAAUCUAUGAUCGAUUUGUGAGUAUAUGUCCCAGAAUGUGAGGUCUCAUAUCUAUCUAUCCCUAUAUAUGUUCCAGUACGUGAGGUAUCUCUUCAUGGGUGUAUGUCAAGGGUAUGAGGUCUCUGAUAUUUUUGCGGUUAUAUGUCCCAGGGUAUGAGGUCUCUGAUCUGUAUGGGGGUAAAUUUCUCAGAGUGAGUUCUCAAGUCCAUUUGUGGCUAUAUGAGCUAGGAUGUUGGUCUCUCCUCUCUUUGGGUGUGUUUGUCCCAUGGUGUGAAGCCUCUGAGCUCCUUGUCAGUAUAUAUGCAGACAUAUGAUGUGUCUGAUCUCUUUGGUGGUAUAUUUCCCAUGAUGUGAAGUCUCUGGUCCAUUUGUUGCUGUAUACUAAUAUGUGCCUAUCUUCACUGGUGUAUGUCAAAGUCAAUUUGUGAGUGUAUUUUCCACGGUAUGAGGUCUCUGAUUUAUUUCUGGGUGUAUGUCUUGAAGUAAGAAGUCUCUGAUGUGUUUGUCCACAUAUGUCUCUGUAUAUAAGAUCUCUAAUCUGUUCAUGAAUAUACGGAGAAUUUGAGGUCUUUCAUCUUCUUUAUGGUUAUAAUCCCCAGAUGUGAUGACUGUGUUAUGUUUGUGGCUGUAUGUCCUAGAAUUUUAGGUAUAUGUAAGUAUGUCCCCAGACAUUCUCUGAUCUGUUUAUGGGUAUAUGUCUCAGGAUUCUUAUUUUGUUUUUCAUUUGCUACCCUUUUUUCCUAUUAUUUAUUUAUUUUAAUUUCAGAAUAUUACA